Molecule: ribosomal RNA, 273 nt
Filed under: uncultured bacterium
Lineage: Bacteria
Description: partial 16S ribosomal RNA
Rfam family: Bacterial small subunit ribosomal RNA
Source: RNAcentral
UUCGCCUACGGGAGGCAGCAGUGAGGAAUAUUGGUCAAUGGUCGGGAGACUGAACCAGCCAAGCCGCGUGAGGGAGGAAGGUACAGAGUAUCGUAAACCUCUUUUGUCAGGGAACAAAGGCGGGGACGUGUCCCCGGAUGAGUGUACCUGAAGAAAAAGCAUCGGCUAAAUCCGUGCCAGCAGCCGCGGUAAUACGGAGGAUGCGAGCGUUAUCCGGAUUUAUUGGGUUUAAAGGGUGCGAAGGCGGGUUAUCAAGGUAGCGGUAAAAUCGCG